This is an RNA transcript of Passer domesticus (house sparrow), 8621 nucleotides long. It is a transcript of the gene named zinc finger protein 239-like, with no coding region annotated. The record is from RefSeq and is a predicted model, not a curated record. The transcript is spliced from 3 exons. Lineage: Eukaryota; Metazoa; Chordata; Aves; Passeriformes; Passeridae.
GAAGGGACCCUAAGGAUCAUCUGGUUCCAAGCUGAGCAGCCUCCCAGCACAGCAGGUUGCUGCGGCCCCUGUCCAAGCUGGCCUUGGAUGUUGGUGGGCAUGGGGCUUCCACAGGCUCUCUGCGCUGGUCCCAGUGUCAGGGACAAGCACCCUGACAGGAAAGAGACAGGAAAGAACUUCUUCCCUUCAUCAAAUGGAUUCCAGCUCUUGCAGUUUGAUCCCAUUCCCCCUUGUUCUGUCACUUCAGUUGCUGACAAAGAGUCCUCUCCCACUUCCCUGUGGGUCAGGCUGUCCCUGCAGUGUCACACAUGUGGCUGAAGCUGCAGCCAGGAGAGAGAGAAGCCAAGCUGCCAGAGAGAGGCAAUGGGGAAAGUGACAUGAGAGGUGAGAGAAGAAGGAAAAAGUAGAGACAUGCAAGUCAUUGGGUUGGGUGAUUUGUGGCAUUCAUGCCUUUUAUUAGAGGCCAGGUUCUCUGGUGCACUCAAUGACUGUGUGAUUGCGGCGUGUCCACAGUGAGCCCGUGUGAGCGAGCUGCACUCCCAGAGGCCGGAGCACACUUGCUUCAAGUGCGGAUGAAUGAGGCCAGAGACGGGUCUUUGUGUGGGACUCCAAACGCUGUGCAUUGCCAUGAAGAGGGUUGUCCUGGGUUGACUAUAUGAUGCUUUCAUCCCCAAUCGUCUUGUUCUGUUUAUACUGAAUAAUAAGUUUUACACCUUUAAGACUCUCUUCCAGACAGUCAAGAGGGGAGGGAAGAAGGGCGCAGUUUGUUUUCAGACUGCUCUCACUCCUCCACAUUCCUGCUCCUGGACUGUGUUGUCUGCGGAUGGACAGACAGCCGGACAGAGCUCCUUUUUUCCCUUUUACUUGCUUUUAGUUAGUUUUAGCUAGCUGAGGCAAAGAAGUUCUCCGGAUUGUGAUUUUUUUUCCUUUUUUCUUGGACCUGUUCAAGCCUGCUCUGGACUGAACACCCAGAAGAGCACCGGCAGCUCCACCUGUGGCCCCUGGCCAGGCCUGGGCCGCGGCGUUUCCAGCACCAGAGACUGAUCAGAAACUGAGUGAGCCGAGCUGCAACCAGGGGAGAGGACUAUUCUGAGUUUGCUUUCCUUGGAUCAGUGAGAAGUUUUAUUGUUUAAUAUUGUUUGGUUUCUAUUGUUUAAUAAACAGGUUUCUUUCCACUUUUCUCCAAAGAAAUAUUUUCUCCUGAACCGGUUGGAGGGGGGAGGGGCAAUUGGAUCUGCUUUUGUAGAGAAGCCCCUUUGGGAGUUAUCUCCCAAACUUGCCCUAAACCAAGUCAAAUACAGCUAGUGGCGCCCAAUGUGUGGCUUGAGAAUGUGGAAAAAAAACCUUUAUUGAUUGUAGGUUUGUUGUGCUUGGUGUGUAGUAGGUUAAAGUACCCAGUAGCCAUGUUAUUUGAAUUUGUAAUGUCUCUUGGGGAGGCCUUUAUGUAGCUCUGGUCUCUAGACCUUUUUGAGGUUUCAAUACCUUUCUGGUCACUAGGAUUAUUGUCCCUAUCACGUAGUUUUUGCGGUAAAGGGGCAUGGAUUAGGUUAGCUAUUGUGUUAGCCUUGGUGAUAAUGAUUUAUAAGGCGUUUACAAAAAUACUGGCGUCUGUUUACGAUAUGUAUGGUUUAUGGUUUCUUCGUCCUAUCCUGCAUCCCAGUUCUAGCAGUAUGUUUUGGGAAUUUAUUAGUAAUUGCACCCAGCUGGUUAGAGGAGGAGCAGGGAAUGAGGCUUUCCAGCCUUUCCUUUCCUUCUUCUCCUUUGAAUCUGUUAUGUCACUUGUAGAGAAUGUUCAGUUUCCCCUGAAUAUUAAAGAGACCAUCUUUCUGGUAUUUAAUCUGGUAGGCUUCCUCUAUAUGGUCUGCAGCUUCUCUAGAAUCAGGGCUGAGAUGUCUAGAAGAGCUGAUGAGACCCCUGACCCAGAAGUAGACCCACGUGUGGAGAAUCCUGAGUGGGGUGGAGAAUGGGAAAAUAUGAGCCAAAUCCUGAAAGAAUUCUCUGACCCUAUAGUCUGGGACUUUCCCCAUGAACAAAUUCAGAACCCAGCUGAGGUGGAGAAAUAUCUGAAAGAGAAGUAUCAUGAUGACCCUAAAAAGAAAAGGAUCAUUGCAGUGAGCUGGGCCCUGGCAUAUGCUUAUCGCACACUGCUAGAUACUCUAGGGCAGCAGACCGAGGAAGAGGGGCAGGGAGAUACAUCAAGAGCUAUCCCAGUCACUCAGGCUGCAGCCAACACCCCAGGCUCAAAGCCAGCAGCUAAACCACAUAGUGAGCCUAAGCCAGCAGUUAAACCAGACAAUAAGCCUCAACCAAUGGCUGUUGCUACUAGCACUAGAAGUGGGAAGUGCACAGACAAGACCGAUCGACCAGUGGAUGAUGAUGAUGAUGAUGCAGGAGAAGGACCCUCAACAUUUCCUGACAUAAAAUCAGGAGUCAAAGCAACUGGCACAAGAUCAGAAGCCAAUAUUGAGUCCUUCUCCCUGAAGGACCUGCAUGGCCUAAGGAAGGAUUACACCCGACUAUCUGAUGAAUCCAUAAUUAGCUGGUUAGUCCGUCUUUGGGAUGCUGCAGGUGAGGCUACAAUUCUGGAUAGCACGGAAGUGAGGCAUUUGGGAUCCCUGUCACAUGAUCCUGUCAUCGACCAAGGCAUGAUGAGGGGGGCUAACCCUCACAGCCUUUGGGCACGGGUCUUGGACAGUGUAGCGCAAAAAUACCUGUGUGCCGAUGAUCUCUACAUGCAGCAAACACAGUGGAAGACCAGAGAACAAGGGAUUCAACGCCUGAGAGAAAUGGCAGUGGCGGAGAUUAUCUUCUCAGAUGACAUAACAACUAGGAAUCCAGACUUGGUACCAUGCACAUCUGUGGUGUGGCGAAAACUGGUACGACUUGGGCCACAUGAAUAUGCUUCUGCUCUAGCUAUCAUGAAGCGGGAUGACACGGAUGAGACCCUGCUUGACAUGGCAAAGAAGCUCCGAGCUUAUGCAGAUGCUGUACAUGUCCCAACACAUGCCAGAAUUGCAGUGGUGGAAACACGUCUGCAGAGAUUAGAGGAUAAGAUAGAGGAGAAUCAUAAGAAGCUCAGAGAGGAGAUUAAAGAAGACCUUCUCCAAAUCUUGGCAGUACAGAUCAGCACUGUGGGGCUGUCACAAAGGUGACUGGGAUGAAGAGAAUAAUGAUUCUCCCAUUUGGCAAAGCCCCCAUGCCUGUGAAUUUGGCAUUUAUUCAGGAAUUUAGCUGCUUGAGCUGGGCUUCUGGUGGGACUUUCAGCAGCCUUGUGUUCCUCACCUUGGGGUGAAUGAACCUUGUCAGACUCACUGGUAACAUUUGCUCCCUUUCCUCCAGUGUUUUUAAGAAACUUUUCAAGGAAGGACAAGAAAACAUUUUCUUUCCACUGGCCACCGAGCCACCUACAGCCUUUUUCCUCAUCAGUUCUCCCAUAAGUUGCUCAGAUGAAGCUGCAUCCAAGUUUCCAAGAGUUCAUCCAGAGAGAACCACAACCUCCUCAGAGGAGGGAACCAUGCUGUUGUCAAAGGCACUUGGGGGCAGUGUCUAAACUCACUGUGCCCAAAUAAUGUUGCAGUCUGGUUAAGAAAAUUGUCAGAGAGAUGCUUCUGCCCCAAUUAAGGUGCUAAGGAGACCAAAUCCAAAGUGGAUUUUAUUGAACAGGAAACGUGAGGUAGAGAGAGACAUGGAAAGAAAGAGAAAAAGAGAGAAGAAGGGGUAGGGCAAGGUAGUGAAGGGGACAGAGACCUCCCCUGGCAGGGCAAGUGUGACAUUGUCCCCUGUGUGUGUGGCUUUCCUGGGGUGAGGGUUUUACACCUGAGCCAGUUUGGGUAAGGGGGGUGGUGUUCACCCCCCCAGCAGGGAUUACCCCACUGUUUCAGGUUGCAGUGCAAGAUGUAACCAAAUGCAUGUUUUCCAUGACCAUCUUGACAAACUUAUAAACAGGCGGGGCAGUUUUCUUUAUCUCUUCCAUGACUCAGCCCUGAUAACGCCCCCCAGGGGCUAUCUUCUGUUAAUGGGCCAUUGAGUGUCCCUGCAGGACUGGUAAAAUGACAUCAUCCCAUUGUGGGAUGCUCCGCCCAGGGGGAGGAGCCAGGCAUUCCUACCUGGAUAUAAGCUGAGGCUUGCAGCCCCAGGAGCACCUUGCCUACUGGAUUCCCAGAGCACAAGAGCUCCAUAAGCACCACUGGACCUUCAGAGGAAGACCAGACCCUUCUACAGGAUCACUGCUUUGACAGAAUCACGUUCAUCACUGCAACAGGACUGCAGCCACCAUUUAACGGGACUGCUACCACCACCCGGACCAACAGGGUGCCGGGUUAGAUCCUGACUCUGUCAGUUUAAGGCAGUGUAUCAUUGCGUUGACCUUAUUGUAAUUCUGGCUUAGACUCUCCCCCUGGUUUGCCUUCAAAGCAGUACAAAACUCAAUGUACUCAUCUCUUGCUUUCCUCCCAGAACAGAAUUUCCCAUCCCAAACUCUUUCCCAGAUGGAGGAGGAAGCUGUGAGGAAGAUGAAGAUGCCCUGGGACACCCAGGCAGACAAUGACCUGAGGAUGGAGACCAGUGAGGACAAAACCCCAUGGCACAACUUCGUAGCAGAGGCCAUUUUGAGAAGCUCCACAGCACAGGAAUACAACAGGGAAGAAAAGCCCCAGAGAUCCCACAGGAAGAGGGGCUGCAAACCCAGCCCAGGCUACUAUGAAAAGGAAAGACCCACCCUGAGCCAGGAAGGUGGACAGAGCUUCAGCCAGAGCUUGGAGCUGGUGGUCCAGGAGCAGCUUCCUGAUGGGGCUAAGCCCCACAAGUGCUUGGAGUGUGGGAAGAGCUUCAGGCAGAGCAGCACCCUGAUUAGCCACCAGAGGAUCCACACUGGGGAAUGGCCCUACAAGUGUGGGGAGUGUGGGAAGGGGUUCAGCUACAGAUCCACCCUUGUGACUCACCAACGCAUCCACACCGGGGAGAGGCCCUAUGAGUGCCCUCAAUGCCAGAAGAGGUUUCGGAUCAGCUCAGAUUUCCUCCUGCACCAGCGGAUUCACACCGAUGAGAGGCCCUUCUGCUGCCCAGAUUGUGGGAAGGGCUUCAAGCGCUACUCCCACCUCAUCAGGCACCAGCUCAUCCACUCCGGGGAGAGGCCCUAUGAGUGCCCCCAGUGUGGGAAGAGGUUUCAGACCAGCUCCAAUCUCCGCCUGCAUGUACGGAUUCACACAGAUGAGAGGCCCUUCCGCUGCCCCGACUGUGGGAAGAGCUUCAAGCAGAAAUUCACCCUCGUCAGGCACCGGCGCAUCCACACUGGGGAGAGGCUCCACGAGUACCCCACAUAUGGGAAGAGCUUCACCCAGAGCUCUGACUUGACCAGCCAGGAGUCACCAGUAAGGGAUGUCCUGCCAGUGCCCCAACUGCAGGAAGAGAUUGAUGAACUGCUCCAGCUUCUUCCCCCAUUGGAGGACCCAUAUUGGAAAGAGCCCUGUGACCCAUGGUGGGAAGACAUCUGUUAAUUUUCCUGCCCCUGCCAAUGACGUGGUGUGAGAUUGAAGAACAUGAGGGUCUGGCCAUGGCCCUGUCAUCACAUUCACUUCCACCUCAGGUCAUUGCCAGGGGCAGGAAAGGGACUCUCUCUCUCUCUCUCUCUCCCUGAGUGUGGUAUUCACAUGCCUUCUGAACAUGUGAAUGUUUGAAGCUGUGAGACAAGCAGAGAAGAAGGAAAACAUAAUUAUUACCUCUCUUGCUGUGCCUGUGUUGUGCUAAAGUAGAAUGCAAUAUGGAGAUUGUUUACUGUUGUGUUGUGUUUUUCAGGUUCUUAAGCUAAGUUGUAUAUUGUAAGUUGGUUUGUUCCAUUCGCCCCUGUGGUUGUGUAAUGGUUCUACCCAGGUUGUCUCCUCCCCUGCAAUCCUUGUCAGUCCCCCUGUCCCCUCCCCUGUUACCCCAGUUAACAUUAUAUCCUUUGUUUUGUCGCACCCUGGUGCUUUGUCUGUCACUCAGCAACCCAUCCUCUCUAUCUAGAAGCUUCUCUUCUGGGCACCAAGUGAUUGGUUCAGCGGCUGGGGCCCUUCCCCUAGUCACUCCCCAUUGGUCCCGUAGCAGUGUCCUUCUUUCCUUUUCCACUCCCUCCUGCUCCUCUAUUGGUUGGAGGGCAGGCUCCACCCCUGUUGCCACCUCCCUUUAUAAGUUGCUGUAAGCCCUUUUCCCACUGUCUUCAGCUUCUGGACGCACCUGGACUUUUCAUCUCACUGCUGCUCCCAAUAACCCUGUUUCACCAGAAGUCGGAACCCGCUUUCUUCACUCCUGUUGGCAUCGGCCCAGAGUCCGUCAAGGCAUUUGUGCCUAAGGCUCUCUCCUUGCAAGCGCAAGUGAGGAGAGUGCCCCCCACACCUCGCUGUCACUCACAUGCUAAAAAGCUAGCCUGGGGCAGCCCUCAAGAUCUCCAUCUGGACCUGCUGUGGGAGUGACCUCUUGAAACCACCUGGCCGUGAAGCUUCCUCCAGUAGGAGAAGACCCAUCUCUGGUGGGUGGCACUCCUGGAGGCUCGAGGAGGCAGCUCCUGCACCCGAGGAGUCUUCCCCUGACAGGAACCACCCCCUUUGGUCUUUUGUUCACCUAACACUGGAUUUUUCCUGAGAGGGGGCCCGAGUUGAAGUGGUGUCGAAUUCUGCGCCUGACUGUAAGUGGUGUCCUCUCCCCUUUUCACCUCCUUCUUGUUCCCCUGUCUCUCUACCCCAGAUCCUUUCUAUUGUUGAAGGGUCGGGGCAUCCUGAGUUCCUUUCAUUUACUUUGAGCCAGGUCUUUUUAACUUAGCACCUUUGCCUCUUUUUCUCUGCUGUGCAGCCACCAUCUUUUUUGACAGGGGCCGGUGUGGGUUUUUCUGCCUUUUCCUUUUAUAUUUUCUUACGGGUGGUGGGUAUUGGUUCUCUCUCUUAACAUCAUAAGCCAUGGGUGCGAGGCUUUCUGGGAUCCAGAAAACAGUGUUUAUCCAAGUUGAGGGAAUCCUUGCGGGUGGGGAUGUUCAUGUUAAAAAGUGAGAAUUAAGAAAGUUAAUUGUUUGGUUGUUUUCUCAUUUCCUGGAGGUUACCACUGGCCAAUUGUAUGGGGUCGAUUUUUGGGAUGUAGUCAUUGCAAAGUUGGCAGAAUUAGGACGGUCAGGGAACUCCUCCCUUUCUAAGAUCAUUUUCUGGUUUCACCAAGUAAGAGCCAUUUUAAAUUCAAGGUGGGAAUGGAGAAAGCAACCGGCAGUUAACACUUUAAUCCCCAUUUCAUGUGGUUCUCCCCGUCCUACCCCUCUUCCCUCUCCCGUGUUCCCAAAAGGUGAAAUCUUGAAGGGAGCUUCCACAGUUGUCCCAGAUUGGGGUCCCUAUCUGCCCGGCUCUCUACAAGGUUCUCACCCCUCCCGCCCAAGAAGUCCCACUACAAACCAAGGCCUAACCCGGCCCUGGCCCCACAUGGGCAUUCCAAGCAUCCCAAGGUGUCUCGGGACAUUGAUCUCAUCCUGCCUCUGACAGCGACCACAGUGACUGUACGGAACCUCAUGGAGCCAGGGGUCAGUUGUGACAACGCGGGUCCAAGGACACCAUGGUGACACUACGGAACCUCAUGGAACCAAGGGGCCACUGUGACACUCUGGUGCCUCAUGCAAUCAAGGAGAUCAUUGUGAAACUCGGGGCCCCAAGGAACCAAGGGUCCAUGGUGACCUUGUGGAUCCUGUAGUGUCACAGAGAAGCCAUUGUGAUACAGCGAGGGGGCAUGGAGCCGAGGGGCCAUGGUGACACAUCAGGGCUUUGUGGGAGCAUGAGCCAUUGUGACGUUGCAAGGUCUCAUGGAAGCACGGGGCCAUUGUGACACUGCAGAAGCAGGGGGAACAUUCUGACACUCCAGGGCCUCAUGAAACCAAGGAGACCAUUGUGACACUCUGGGGUCCCACAAAACCAAGGGAACAGGGAACAGGUCUGGCUGGCUGGGCCUCCUGGGGACCACCUGACAGGUCCAGCUGACCUUGGCAUGUUGAGGGCUUCUUCUCAUCUGUCCCUGGAGCACUGGGGCUCUGGGCUUUCCUUCUUAUGAGAGAGAAGUGUCCUUCUCCUCCAAGGCCCCAUGGCCAAAAUUUGGAUUCCUUCUCCACAUUUCCUUAUAUGCAAAGGUUGUUUCCAGAUGAAAUCCGCCAGGAGUGACAGAUCUGGUUGCCUUGGCCAUCCAGGGGCCAUCUCUCAUCUGUCUUUGAAACACUGGGACCAUGUGCUUUUCUUUCUUAUGGGAAAAAAACAUCCAUCCCGACCAAGUACACAUGGCCAAAAUUGGGCAUCUGUCUCCAGCAUUCCCUAUAUCCAAGGAUAACUCUGAGACAAAAGCUGCCAGGAGUGACAAGUCUGGCUGGCCUUGGCUUCCUGAGGGCUGGCACUCAUCUGCCUCUGAAACACUGAGGCUCUGCGCUUUCUUUCUUCAUAGAAAGAACUAUUCCUGUCCACGUAUCCACAGCCAAAAUUGAGAUUUCACCACCUCCAAAAUGCUCUAUGUCCAAGGAUAGCCCCUAGACAAAAGCUGCCAGGAGAGACAGGUCUGGCUGUCUUGGCCUAAGGGUGGCUACCUCUCAUCAUCUUCCAGAACACUUGGACUUGGCACUUCUCUUUCCUGUA